This 488-nucleotide ribosomal RNA is filed under the name uncultured bacterium. Its description in RNAcentral is "partial 16S ribosomal RNA". It matches the Rfam family "Bacterial small subunit ribosomal RNA", at positions 28 to 507 of the family's 1533-position model. The record is from RNAcentral.
GACGAACGCUGGCGGCGUGCUUAACACAUGCAAGUCGAACGGAAAGGCCCUGCUUUUGUGGGGUGCCCGAGUGGCGAACGGGUGAGUAACACGUGAGUAACCUGCCCUUGACUUUGGGAUAACUUCAGGAAACUGGGGCUAAUAUCGGAUAGGAGCUCCUGCUGCAUGGAGGGGGUUGGAUCGUUUCGGCGUUCGGGGAUGGACUCGCGGCUUUCUAGCUUGUUGGUGGGGUAGUGGCUUACCAAGGCGAUGACGGGUAGCCGGCGGGAGAGGGGGAUCGGCGACACUGGAAGUGAGACACGGACCAUAGGCCUAAGGGAGGGAGCAGUCGGCAAUAGUGGGCAAUGGGGGGAAGUAUUACACAGCGAGCCGGAGCGUGAUACGAAGGCGCUGGGUGCGGAAAGACGGCUUGCGGGUUAAGAACAGCUUUCGCCUGAGACGACGCGUGAGUGACGGUAACCAAUAAAGAAGCACCGGCUAACUACGUG